GAGUUUGAUCGUGGCUCAGGAUGAACGCUGGCGGCGUGCCUAACACAUGCAAGUCGAACGGUCUCGCAAGAGAUAGUGGCGCACGGGUGAGGAACACGUAGCUUACCUGCCCUUUACACUGAGAUAACCCUGCGAAAGCAGGGCUAAUAUCGGAUAAGCUCACGGGAAAGAGAUAGCCUGUGAGAAAAGCUCCGGCGGUAAAGGAGGGGGCUGCGGCCCAUCAGCUUGUUGGUGAGGUAACGGCUCACCAAGGCGACGACGGGUCGGGGGCCUGAGAGGGUGACCCCCCACACUGGGACUGAGACACGGCCCAGACUCCUACGGGAGGCAGCAGUGAGGAAUAUUGCUCAAUGGGCGCAAGCCUGAAGCAGCGACGCCGCGUGGACGAUGAAGGUCUUCGGAUCGUAAAGUCCUUUUCUGUGUGACGAGGAAGGACGGUAGCACAGGAAAAAAGUGUCGGCUAACUACGUGCCAGCCGCCGCCGU
RNAcentral lists this ribosomal RNA (485 nucleotides) under uncultured Campylobacterota bacterium. Its description in RNAcentral is "bacterial SSU rRNA". It matches the Rfam family "Bacterial small subunit ribosomal RNA", at positions 9 to 521 of the family's 1533-position model. The record is from RNAcentral. Lineage: Bacteria; Pseudomonadati; Campylobacterota.